Molecule: ribosomal RNA, 598 nt
Filed under: uncultured bacterium
Lineage: Bacteria
Description: bacterial SSU rRNA
Rfam family: Bacterial small subunit ribosomal RNA
Source: RNAcentral
CCAGACUCCUACGGGGGGCAGCAGUGAGGAAUAUUGGUCAAUGGGCGUGAGCCUGAACCAGCCAAGUAGCGUGCAGGAUGACGGCCCUAUGGGUUGUAAACUGCUUUUAUACGGGGAUAAAAGGGUGAACGUGUUCUCCUUUGCAGGUACCGUAUGAAUAAGGACCGGCUAAUUCCGUGCCAGCAGCCGCGGUAAUACGGAAGGUCCUGGCGUUAUCCGGAUUUAUUGGGUUUAAAGGGAGCGCAGGCUGCACUUUAAGCGUGUUGUGAAAUGUACCGGCUCAACCGGUAACGUGCAGCGCGAACUGGGGUGCUUGAGUACGAAGAGGGAAGGCGGAACUCGUGGUGUAGCGGUGAAAUGCUUAGAUAUCACGAGGAACUCCGAUCGCGAAGGCAGCUUUCCGUUUCGGAACUGACGCUGAGGCUCGAAAGUGCGGGUAUCGAACAGGAUUAGAUACCCUGGUAGUCCGCACGGUAAACGAUGGAUGCUCGCUGUUGGAUAUUUUUAUUCAGUGGCUAAGUGAAAACGUUAAGCAUCCCACCUGGGGAGUACGCCGGCAACGGUGAAACUCAAAGGAAUUGACGGGGGCCCGCACAAG